RNAcentral lists this long non-coding RNA (417 nucleotides) under Rosa chinensis. RNAcentral's name for it is "sRNA RchiOBHm_Chr1g0339231". Lineage: Eukaryota; Viridiplantae; Streptophyta; Magnoliopsida; Rosales; Rosaceae. The record is from RNAcentral.
UAGUUUUAGUUUUGACUUGCUAGAUUUUGAUAUUUGGAGUAAUGACUGAAGAUUAAGAUUAUUUUAUGGGGUUUAAGUUAGCUUUUGGUUCAUGACAGAUACCAAACAUGUGGUAGAAACUUUGGGUUGCAAAUCGCAGACUGAGAUUGACCCUUAAACAUCUCAUUCUUCCCAUCCUUCUUUGCCUCGGAAAGGUUGCCAUUGUUUCCAUUUGUGUUGGGUCUAUUCGAAGUUAUUAAACUCUUGGGGAUCCCAAUUUUGUGGAAAAUUACUUUAAGAGCUAAAAAAUUCCAAAGAAUGAAGCAAGGAAAUGGCCAAUUGAAGGCUCAAAUAGAAAGUUUUUGAGGGGAUCCCAGGAGUAGAUGAGUUUGGAUGACUCUCCCCACCCCAGACUACAGUCACCCAAACUUCACUUAA